This 464-nucleotide ribosomal RNA is filed under the name uncultured Alloiococcus sp. Its description in RNAcentral is "bacterial SSU rRNA". It matches the Rfam family "Bacterial small subunit ribosomal RNA", at positions 338 to 795 of the family's 1533-position model. Lineage: Bacteria; Bacillati; Bacillota; Bacilli; Lactobacillales; Carnobacteriaceae. The record is from RNAcentral.
CCUACGGGAGGCAGCAGUAGGGAAUCUUCCACAAUGGGUGCAAACCUGAUGGAGCAAUGCCGCGUGAGUGAAGAAGGUCUUCGGAUCGUAAAGCUCUGUUGUUAGAGAAGAACACGUGCUAGGUAACUACUAGCGCCUUGACGGUAUCUAACCAGAAAGUCACGGCUAACUACGUGCCAGCAGCCGCGGUAAUACGUAGGUGACAAGCGUUGUCCGGAUUUAUUGGGCGUAAAGGGAGCGCAGGCGGUCUGUUUAGUCUAAUGUGAAAGCCCACGGCUUAACCGUGGAACGGCAUUGGAAACUGACAGACUUGAAUGUAGAAGAGGAAAAUGGAAUUCCAAGUGUAGCGGUGGAAUGCGUAGAUAUUUGGAGGAACACCAGUGGCGAAGGCGAUUUUCUGGUCUAACAUUGACGCUGAGGCUCGAAAGCGUGGGGAGCGAACAGGAUUAGAUACCCCAGUAGUC